GGAGGGGCCAUGGCUUAAUGGUACAACAUCUGCUUGGGAUGCAGAAGACCCUAAGUUAAAUUCCUGGCAUCUCUA
RNAcentral lists this transfer RNA (75 nucleotides) under Sphaerodactylus townsendi. RNAcentral's name for it is "tRNA-Pro". It matches the Rfam family "tRNA". From Rfam's summary of the family: Transfer RNA (tRNA) molecules are approximately 80 nucleotides in length. The record is from RNAcentral. Lineage: Eukaryota; Metazoa; Chordata; Lepidosauria; Squamata; Sphaerodactylidae.